GACGAACGCUGGCGGCGUGCUUAACACAUGCAAGUCGAGCGGUAAGGCCCUUUCGGGGGUACACGAGCGGCGAACGGGUGAGUAACACGUGGGUGACCUGCCCUCAGCUCUGGGAUAAGCCUGGGAAACCGGGUCUAAUACUGGAUAUGACUCCAUGACGCAUGUUGUGGGGUGGAAAGCCUUGUGCGGCUGAGGAUGGGCCCGCGGCCUAUCAGCUUGUUGGUGGGGUGANGGCCUACCAAGGCGACGACGGGUAGCCGGCCUGAGAGGGCGACCGGCCACACUGGGACUGAGACACGGCCCAGACUCCUACGGGAGGCAGCAGUGGGGAAUUUGGACAAUGGGGCAACCCUGAUCCAGCCAUUCCGCGUGAGUGAAGAAGGCC
Molecule: ribosomal RNA, 385 nt
Filed under: uncultured bacterium
Lineage: Bacteria
Description: bacterial SSU rRNA
Rfam family: Bacterial small subunit ribosomal RNA
Source: RNAcentral